AGAGUUUGAUCAUGGCUCAGGAUGAACGCUAGCUACAGGCUUAACACAUGCAAGUCGAGGGGCAUCAGUUUGGUUUGCUUGCAAACCAAAGCUGGCGACCGGCGCACGGGUGAGUAACACGUAUCCAACCUGCCUCAUACUCGGGGAUAGCCUUUCGAAAGAAAGAUUAAUAUCCGAUAGCAUAUAUUUCCCGCAUGGGUUUUAUAUUAAAGAAAUUCGGUAUGAGAUGGGGAUGCGUUCCAUUAGUUUGUUGGCGGGGUAACGGCCCACCAAGACUACGAUGGGUAGGGGUUCUGAGAGGAAGGUCCCCCCANAUUGGAACUGAGACACGGUCCAAACUCCUACGGGAGCA
RNAcentral lists this ribosomal RNA (352 nucleotides) under uncultured bacterium. RNAcentral's name for it is "bacterial SSU rRNA". It matches the Rfam family "Bacterial small subunit ribosomal RNA", at positions 8 to 349 of the family's 1533-position model. The record is from RNAcentral.